UACAAUACUAUUAACUUUUUUAAACAUGCCUUGCUUCAAAAUUCUGUAUGGAUGCAAUGGUAUGUAAAUAAUCUUAUGUUAAGGGGUGAUCAUUGAAUUUUGAAGAAGCCGAUCAACCACUUAAUAAUGAUCAAUAAAUCCCCCUCCAAAAUUAUGUGAGAAGCUUUAAGAAAGAGAAAAAAUAACAGUUCUUUAGAAAGUAGAAAAAAUUAAUGAUUGGAUCAGAUCCACCA
This 233-nucleotide long non-coding RNA is filed under the name Elaeis guineensis (African oil palm). RNAcentral describes it as "long non-coding RNA (EGUI_LNC006760)". Lineage: Eukaryota; Viridiplantae; Streptophyta; Magnoliopsida; Arecales; Arecaceae. The record is from RNAcentral.